Molecule: ribosomal RNA, 497 nt
Filed under: uncultured bacterium
Lineage: Bacteria
Description: partial 16S ribosomal RNA
Rfam family: Bacterial small subunit ribosomal RNA
Source: RNAcentral
GACGAACGCUGGCGGCGUGCCUAAUACAUGCAAGUUGAGCGAUGAAGCUUGGUGCUUGCUCCAAUUUGAAGAGCAGCGAACGGGUGAGUAACGCGUGGGGAAUCUGCCUUUGAGCGGGGGACAACAUUUGGAAACGAAUGCUAAUACCGCAUAACAACUUUAAACAUAAGUUUUAAGUUUGAAAGAUGCAAUUGCAUCACUCAAAGAUGAUCCCGCGUUGUAUUAGCUAGUUGGUGAGGUAAAGGCCCACCAAGGCGAUGAUACAUAGCCGACCUGAGAGGGGGGUCGGCCACAUCGGGACUGAGACACCGCCCAAACUCCCACGGGGGGCAGCAGUAGGGAAUCUUCGGCAAUGGACGAAAGUCUGACCGAGCAACGCCGCGUGGGGGAAGAAGGUUUUCGGAUCGUAAAACUCUGUUGGUAGAGAAGAACGUUGGUGAGAGUGGAAAGCUCAUCAAGUGACGGUAACUACCCAGAAAGGGACGGCUAACUACGUG